CUACGGGAGGCUGCAGUGAGGAAUAUUGGGCAAUGCCCGCAAGGGUGACCCAGCAACGCCGCGUGGAGGAUGAAGGCCGUAAGGUUGUAAACUCCUGUUAGAGGAGAAGAAUAGUACCGAUUGGAUCGGUAUUUGACUGUACCCUCAGAGAAAGCCCCGGCUAACUACGUGCCAGCAGCCGCGGUAAUACGUAGGGGGCAAGCGUUGUCCGGAUUUACUGGGUGUGCAGGGCGGAUAGGCGGGCAGGCGAGAAAUCCUACAGCUUAACUGUAGAACUGCCUUUGAUACUGUUAUUCUUGAGUUCGGGAGAGAGAGACGGAAUUCCAGGUGUAGUGGUGAAAUACGUAGAUAUCUGGAAGAACACCAGUUGCGAAGGCGGUCUCUUGGUCCGAUACUGACGCUGAGGCGCGAAAGCGUGGGGAGCAAACAGGAUUAGAUACCCUGGUAGUC
This 450-nucleotide ribosomal RNA is filed under the name uncultured bacterium. Its description in RNAcentral is "partial 16S ribosomal RNA". It matches the Rfam family "Bacterial small subunit ribosomal RNA", at positions 339 to 795 of the family's 1533-position model. The record is from RNAcentral.